GGAGAAAGAAUAAAACUUGGGCUCGAGCAAUUUUUAGGCCUAAUUUUUUAUCAAACCCAUAAUUCCUAGGCCUAUACCCCUAACCUAAUACCUACCCUAUAUAAUAGUACCUAAUCCCUAAAUUGACCUAGGCAAAAAACCUUACAUUUUUAUCCGCGCCGCUUGACACAAAAAAGGACCCCAACCUGAUCUUCUUCUUCAUGAAAAAAGCCAACAAGAAAAAACCCAGAGCUCUAAGGAAGCUUAAGCCGCAGCAGCCAUGAAAAGAAGCUCCACCCUAACUCUACCGCCUCUGUCGUCUCCCUCAUCCCCAGCCUCAGAAAAUCAGUAGCCAUCAGACCUCACUGCCUGAAACCCGCCGGAAAACAACCCCUUCCUUUCCAGUUUCAGUCACACACAAACACAACUGAAAAAACGACCUUAAUCCCAAUCAAAAGCCCAGCGGAAACGCGCUUGAAUCACCUCUGAACUCCAGCCAUUAGAAGCAGCGAAACAAGCUGCAAAUAGCUCUCAAACCGUUCAAGUACGAGCAGCUUUUUGAUCGUGGUUUGAGUCGCUGAAGUUGGGUCCGAUUGCCGUCGAGUUCGAGUUAGACAGAGUUUCCGUUCGUUAGCUUCAGUUCCGGUUCUCUGUUUUGGGGUGGGUUCGAUCUCCUCUACUGGGAUUUUGGGAAUGAAAACGUGGAUCUAGUCCGGAAUAUUGUCGAUCUAGAGAUCACCGAAGCUGUUACGCAAAAGUUUUCUGCAAGGCAAGUCCAAGUUCCAUUUAUUCGACCACUUACACAUUUCCUCUAAAAUUGAUUUGCUUGGAUUUAGUUUACGCAUACCUGUUUAUAUAUGUCAACGCUUGUUUUCUAAUUCUACAUCUGAUUUUAACAUGCUACUGAGCCUGCAUGGCCAGUGAAAUUGAUUAUAGCAUCUUAUUGACAAUUUAUGUAUGAUAUUUAAACUUUUCUUAUUAUUCCAUAUGGUGAUUUACUCAUAGUUACAUUUAGAGGUCUCAUGUAUAUUAUGUCAGAAAUUAUCUGUGUGGAAAUUAAGUGUUUGACAAAUAUGGUUUCGAGAAGCUUAGCUGCCUUAGCAACCUGCGUUUAUAUCAGGCACAAGUAGGAUUUACAUUCCUUUUCUAUUUUCAAAGGCUCAAUCCUAAUAAUUAUCUAUGCUUAAAAAACAAUUAGGAAGCAAGUGAAUUUCUUGCGUACUGAUGCAUAUCUUUUGUUUUGCUUAAUUUGCUUGUAAAGAAAAAUGUUUAAAUUUUUGGUUGGUAAAAUUAUCCAUCAUAACAAGUUGCUUAUUUGAUUGAAAGGAGCAAGUGAGUGAUUUCCAUAUAAAUUAAGGUAUGCGUUCGUCCAACUUCGAACAAACUUCCUUAAUAAUAAAAUUAGUUUUCAUAGGUUACUAAUACUCCGGGGUGAGCCAUCCACGUUUUAAUCAUACAUGGCCCUCAUAUAAAUUUCGUAUAAUUUAGAUAUUAAAAAUGAAUCUCUAGUAGUUUGCUUUAGGAGCAUUAAUUAAAUAAACCGUCAUAGCUACGGUUACGGUUCCCAUGACGUAGUUGUGAUGCUUAAUUUCCAAAUUCGGGGUACAUUUGUGUGACCCGGCCACAAUUUAAUCUUUUUAAAUAAAAUGAGUACGUUGUGGAUCGUGGGUACGGCUCUCGUGACAUGAUUCGCAAUCGUGCAAUCAAUAAUUAGUUGUAUAACAAUUGGAUUAUUAAAAGCGAUUUUAAAAGGAAUAAAAUGCACAUAGGUUUUAAAUAUGUAAUUAAUCAGAUAACUAAGUCAAUUAAUAAUAGUUGAGCAACCGUGCUAAAAUUACGGAACCCGGGAAUGCCUAACACAUUCUCCCGGGUUAACAGAAUUCCUGACCCGGAUCUCUGUGUUUUGCGGACUGUAAAACAGAGUCAAAAUUCCUCGGUUUGGGAUUUUAAACCAUUGACUUGGGACACCAAUAAACUAUCCCAAGUGAUGACUCUGAAUUUUAAAUAAAAUAAUCCCGUUUCGAUUGUCACUUAAAUUGGAAAAAACUCCCUUAUAUACCCUUUCGGUGGUAAAAAAAGAGGUGUGACAGUGGAAACAAGAGGUAAAGCAGUAGUUGAGGCUUGAAUUCUCUUCGUGGCAUCGAGGUAAGUGAUUGGUCUAACCUUAGCUUGAGGGAUUAGGAGUUGUAUCUUAUUUGCUAUGUGUUAAUUGUGGAGUACGACGUAUAAGCAUGGUGACGAGUAUCUAUACGUCGGUGUCAAGCAUACCCGUGAGUCUCGUAUGGUAAUUGUUGUGACUUCAUUAUAAUUUGUUCAUGCUUAAUAUAAUGAUUAUCAUUGUUAGUUCCCUUACCGGGAUGUCAUUGUUAUGAUAUUGUUUCCCUUGCUGUGAUGUUAUUGUUUACGAUAUUGUCUCCCUUGCCGGGAUGUUAUUGUUAUACUCGUGUUCCUUGCCGGGAUUCUUUUAUGAUUGAUGUUGAUUUUUCAAAUGGGAUAGGGUUGCACGCCUACAACAAGAUAUAUGAAAUGGGAUCGGGUGGCACGCCGCCACGGUGAUAUAUGAAAUAGGAUCGGGUUGCACGCCUGCAACAAGAUAUAUGAAAUGGGAUCGGGUGGCACGCUGCCACGGUGAUAUAUGAAACGGGAUCGGAUUGCACGCCUACAACAGGAUAUAUGAAAUGGGAUCAAGUGACAUGCCGCCACGGUGAUACAUAAAAUGGGAUCGGGUUGCACGCCUACAACAAGAUAUAUGAAAUGGGAUCGGGUUGCACGCUGUAACAAGAUAUAUGAAAUGGGAUCGUGUGGCACGCCGCCAUGGUGAUAUAUGAAAUGGGAUCGGGUUGCACGCCUGCAAUGAGGAAGAAAUGAAAGUGAAUAUUGUGUUUGUUUUCCUUAUUCUUGUUGGCAUUUAAAUGUUGGUUUCUUUACAUUCCUCUUUUGGUAUUCUUUUGUUAGCUGAUAUUCCCCGCAACAUGUUUUCCCCUCCCAUCUUUAGCUGUAAUUAUCUGCUUUUAUCUUUCCAUUGUAUAUGAUUUAAUUGCACAUGUUUAUUUGGUAGUCUGGUCCUAGCCUCGUCACUACUUCACCGAUGUUAGGCUAGGUACUUACCAGCACAUGGGGUCGGUUGUGCUGAUACUAAACUCUAAAUUGUGUACAGAUCCCGGUGCUACAACUUUUGGACCGCAGUGAGGUUGCUGUCUUCAGUCCAAUAGGCGACCCGAAGUAGUCAUGUAGGCAUCCACAGGCCUUAGCGUCUCCCUCUAUCUUUCCAUUCUGUUUCUUUUAUGUAUUUUAGAGACAACUUUGUACUUAUCUUUUAAACCUCUGUUUGUAGUAUUCGUAGAUAGUCCGUGACUUUGUGACACCAAAUUUUGGGUAGUGUUAUAUAUCGGAUUCAUAUAACAAUGUUUGGUUAAACUAUUAAGUUUUCGUCUUUCGCAUUUCUGGUUUUUUAAUUAUUUCGAUGUUUGAUCACCUAUUAUAUUGGUAUCAGAGCUCUAGGUUAGUUAGGCCUCACAAUUCACGGACAAGCUUAGUAGAGUCUGAGAGAUCGGUUCGGAGACGUCUAUAUUUAUCCCCCAGAGGCUACAGAGUUAGGAAAAACUUCACAUCUAUUCUUUCCUGUCGUGCCGUUUGGUUUCUCAAUGCUAAUUGAAUUUAUACUCUGUUCUUUAGCAGAUGGCAAGAACAUGCGCUUUCUCAUCUACUGAUCAGUAUCCCGAGCCCCCAACAGCAGCUCCCACGAGGGGGAGACAGCGAGGUCAAGGCCGUGAUGGAGGCCGAGGCAGGGGCAAAGCUUAGCCUAGAGCAGCAGCACUAGCGGCGGAGCCUCAGGUUGAGUUUGAUGAUGAGGUUUCGGCCCAGCCAGUUCCGGUGGGCCCUGCUCAUGUAUCAGAGGGGUUCAUUUUUACCCCAGUACUCCAGGAUGCUCUG
This 3912-nucleotide long non-coding RNA is filed under the name Nicotiana tabacum (common tobacco). Its description in RNAcentral is "long non-coding RNA (NTAB_LNC013813)". The record is from RNAcentral. Lineage: Eukaryota; Viridiplantae; Streptophyta; Magnoliopsida; Solanales; Solanaceae.